GAUGAACGCUGGCGGCGUGCUUAACACAUGCAAGUCGAACGGAAAGGCCCUGCUUUUGUGCGUUUCUCGAGUGGCGAACGCGGGAGUAACACGUGUGUAACCUGCCCUUGUCUUUCGGAUAACUUCAGGGAACUGGGGCUAAUAUCGGAUAGGAUCUCCUGCUGCAUGGGGGGGGUUGGAAAGUUUCGGCGGUGGGGGAUGGACUAGCGGCUUAUCAGCUUGUUGGUGGGGUAGUUGCGUACCAAGGCUUUGACGGGUAGGCCGCCUGGGAGCGUGGACGGGCACCUUGGGCCUACGAUACGGAGCAGAAUGGUACGUGCGGCAGCAGUGGGAAGUCUUACACAGUGAGCGCACGCGUGAUACGAAAGCGCUCGGUGCGGAAAGACGGCCUUCGGGUUGUGAACAGCUUUGGCCUGUGACGAAGCGUGCGUGACGGUACUGGGUAAAGAAGCACCGGCUAACUACGUG
Molecule: ribosomal RNA, 468 nt
Filed under: uncultured bacterium
Lineage: Bacteria
Description: partial 16S ribosomal RNA
Rfam family: Bacterial small subunit ribosomal RNA
Source: RNAcentral